GACGAACGCUGGCGGCGUGCCUAACACAUGCAAGUCGAACGGAAAGGCCCUGCUUUUGUGGGGUGCUCGAGUGGCGAACGGGUGAGUAACACGUGAGUAACCUGCCCUUGACUUUGGGAUAUCUUCAGGCAACUGGGGCUAAUACCGGCUAGGAGCUCCUGCUGCUUGGUGGGGGUUGGAACGUUUCGGCGGUUGGGGAUGGACUCGCGGCUUAUCAGCUUGUUGGGUGGGUGGUGGCUUAGCAAGGCUUUGACGGCUGGCCGGCCUGAGAGGGUGGCCGGCCACCUUGGGCCUGCGAUACGGCCCAGACUCGUACGGGAGGCAGAGGUGGGGAAUAUUGCACAAUGGGCGGAAGUCUGAUGCGACAACGCCGCGAGCGGGAAGACGGCCUUCGGGUUGUGAACCGCUUUCGGCUGUGACGAAGCGUUAGUGACGGUAAUGGGUGAAGAAGCACCGGCUAACUACGUG
RNAcentral lists this ribosomal RNA (468 nucleotides) under uncultured bacterium. RNAcentral describes it as "partial 16S ribosomal RNA". It matches the Rfam family "Bacterial small subunit ribosomal RNA", at positions 28 to 507 of the family's 1533-position model. The record is from RNAcentral.